This 66-nucleotide transfer RNA is filed under the name Xenostrobus securis. Its description in RNAcentral is "tRNA-Trp". It matches the Rfam family "tRNA". From Rfam's summary of the family: Transfer RNA (tRNA) molecules are approximately 80 nucleotides in length. Their secondary structure includes four short double-helical elements and three loops (D, anti-codon, and T loops). The record is from RNAcentral. Lineage: Eukaryota; Metazoa; Mollusca; Bivalvia; Mytilida; Modiolidae.
AAGAAAGUAAUUUAAAGGUAAAAUCUAAGGCUUCAAACCUUAGCUUAUGGGUCACCAUCUUUCUUG